This 468-nucleotide ribosomal RNA is filed under the name uncultured bacterium. RNAcentral's name for it is "partial 16S ribosomal RNA". It matches the Rfam family "Bacterial small subunit ribosomal RNA", at positions 28 to 507 of the family's 1533-position model. The record is from RNAcentral.
GACGAACGCUGGCGGCGUGCUUAACACAUGCAAGUCGAACGGAAAGGCCCUGCUUUUGUGGGGUGCUCGAGUGGCGAACGGGUGAGUAACACGUGAGUAACCUGCCCUUGACUUUGGGAUAACUUCAGGAAACUGGGGCUAAUACCGGAUUGGAGCUCCUGCUGCAUGGUGGGGGUUGGAAAGUUUCGGCGGUUGGGGAUGGACUCGCGGCUUAUCAGCUUGUUGGUGGGGUAGUGGCUUACCAAGGCUUUGACGGGUAGCCGGCCUGAGAGGGUGACCGGCCACAUUGGGACUGAGAUACGGCCCAGACUCCUACGGGAGGCAGCAGUGGGGAAUAUUGCACAAUGGGCGGAAGCCUGAUGCAGCAACGCCGCGUGCGGGAUGACGGCCUUCGGGUUGUAAACCGCUUUCGCCUGUGACGAAGCGUGAGUGACGGUAAUGGGUAAAGAAGCACCGGCUAACUACGUG